GCUGCGGUAAUUUGACUGUACUAAGGUAGCACAAUCAUUUGCCCUUUAAUUGUGGGCUGGUAUGAAUGGGUAAACGAGGGUAAAGCUGUCUCUUGUAUAUGACUAAAAGUUAAACUUUAAGUGAAUAUGCUUAAAUAGGGGUAAAAGACAAGAAGACCCCAAGAGCUUUAAUAAAAUCUCAGAUAAGGCUAUAUUUGAGUGUUAUUUUGGUUGGGGCGACAGAGGACUAAACUAUAGCGUCUUUUUUAGUGAAGAAUUUGAUUCUUUGUUGAUCCGUUGUGCGAUUAGAAGAAGUAGCUACCUUGGGGAUAACAGGCUAAUUUAUUCGGAGAGUCCCUAUUGAUGAAUUAAGUUUGGCACCUCGA
This 365-nucleotide ribosomal RNA is filed under the name Capitella nonatoi. RNAcentral describes it as "partial 16S ribosomal RNA". It matches the Rfam family "Bacterial large subunit ribosomal RNA", at positions 1930 to 2529 of the family's 2925-position model. The record is from RNAcentral. Lineage: Eukaryota; Metazoa; Annelida; Polychaeta; Capitellidae.